GAGAGAGAGAGAGGAGAGAGAGAGAGAGAGAGAGAGAGAGAGAGACUCGUAGACGCUGAACCUGUUUUCAUGCCUUCAGUGGAGCGGAGCGGGCGAUGGAUGUGAGAUUUUAUCCUGCACCCCCUUCGAGCGUGGGCUCCUGCACGUUAUCCACCGACUCCAGCCUCGCCUCUCUGGACUAUUACCACUGCAACAAGCCACCUAAAAAUAACUCCAAAGCAGUGCAAUUACUGGAGACGGGUAGCAAGGCACCGAAUCUAGGAGUGUGAAUAUAGGGCUUAUACAUAAAAGACAUAAUACACAAUUUAAUGACAACAAAAUCAAUAAAGACCAUCAAAGCACCCGCAUCACAUGUGACAGCGAAAACAACAGCAAUAAUAACAAUAAUAAUAAUAAAUAUAGCUAUCUAUAAAGGAGCAAUCUGUGGGGCCCAAGCACCCUCUGCGGAGAUGUUUUUGUUCGCCGAGUCUCAGACAGCGAUGAGUGUUUUGACACCAACAUUAUGAAGAUACACCAAAAAUCCUAGGACUAGCUUUCCUAGCUUGCCAAAGUAGGUUUCGCAUUUCAUGCAAAGCAUCGAGGUAGGCGGAGCUUAACGAUCCCACUUGUAAGUUUGUUCCCGUUAAGCCGAGUUAAAACCAAAAUGUUUCUACAACUCACAUGUCUCGAGAUUUGGGCUAAAAUGUAAGAUGCUGCACGACAGCGCCACCAUCAGGCUAGUCAAGCAUGAUUCUUUCUACUUUCUACUUUUUUUUUUUAAGUGGCAGAAAAAUUCUCACGGAAACAAAAGGGUACCAAGCACCUUGUGUUGCCCACUAAUCAUAAAAAUAAUGCCUGCUACUGUGUGUUUCUGUGUGUGUGUGUGUGUGUGUGUGUGUGUGUGCUCACAUGGAUAAUACACCCUGAGGCAAGAUCUAUGGAGCAUAUGAUUCGAUGGGAAUAAGCCCCAGGUGUACAAUCGUACUGAUUUAACACACACACACACACACACACACACACAAAACAGUUUUCUAUAUUUUGAUACCUUCUUCUUUCCUUACUCUACAGAAUUCGGUUAAGUUCUUGCUCGGUACAAGCUUCUGUUUUUUUUUUUUUUUUUUUCUCUCUCUCAUCCUGCUCUACAUCCAGCUGGUUGCACUCGCUAUCAGCAAGUAAACUGUUGUUCAUGUACAAUGCAAGUGCUUGUUCCUCUUUUCCUAAACCGAUUCCCUACAACCAUGUUUACAGUCAAUAUGUUUCCCCCCCCAUGACUCAACCACUGUGGAAAUAUAAGAUAUGGCAUUUACAUUUAUUCUUUUGCCAGAUGCUUUUUUUCCCGACGCAGAUACAGUGCAAGCAUGUAGAAAAUGAAGUGUUGGCCCACAGCACUCCGUUUUACACAUGGCAAGGGUAAUUAGGCAGAAAGAAGCCAUCUAAAUGACUGAGAGACAAACUAACUGACUGUAUUUUAGGCUGCUUUGGGUUGCUCAUUCAUUCUGACUGGAGAGAAGCUUGCUAUGCUCACCAUGCAAAGAGCUAAACCACUCAUAUUAUAAAGCAAGGAAUGCACUACUGGGUAAAGAAAAAAAAAAAAACCCGGUAGAGACGGGCAACAAAAGGAUCAGCUCUGUUAGGAAUAUUUAUGAGUUUGAAAUAACAGUCAUCAAAGUCCUCUUAGCAUGUGAAAAUGAU
This is a long non-coding RNA of Ictalurus punctatus (channel catfish), 1671 nucleotides long. The record is from Ensembl. Lineage: Eukaryota; Metazoa; Chordata; Actinopteri; Siluriformes; Ictaluridae.